AUCCAGCUGACGAGUCCCGAAUUGGGACGAAACGUGAAUCCUGGAU
Molecule: non-coding RNA, 46 nt
Filed under: Schistosoma margrebowiei
Lineage: Eukaryota; Metazoa; Platyhelminthes; Trematoda; Strigeidida; Schistosomatidae
Source: RNAcentral